UGCUAAUACAUGCAAGUCGAGCGGAUCGAUGGGAGCUUGCUCCCUGAGAUCAGCGGCGGACGGGUGAGUAACACGUGGGUAACCUGCCUGUAAGACUGGGAUAACUCCGGGAAACCGGGGCUAAUACCGGAUAACACCUACCCCCGCAUGGGGGAAGGUUGAAAGGUGGCUUCGGCUAUCACUUACAGAUGGACCCGCGGCGCAUUAGCUAGUUGGUGAGGUAACGGCUCACCAAGGCGACGAUGCGUAGCCGACCUGAGAGGGUGAUCGGCCACACUGGGACUGAGACACGGCCCAGACUCCUACGGGAGGCAGCAGUAGGGAAUCUUCCGCAAUGGACGAAAGUCUGACGGAGCAACGCCGCGUGAGUGAAGAAGGUUUUCGGAUCGUAAAACUCUGUUGUUAGGGAAGAACAAGUGCCGUUCGAAUAGGGCGGCACCUUGACGGUACCUAACCAGAAAGCCACGGCUAACUACGUGCCAGCAGCCGCGGUAAUACGUAGGUGGCAAGCGUUGUCCGGAAUUAUUGGGCGUAAAGCGCGCGCAGGUGGUUUCUUAAGUCUGAUGUGAAAGCCCACGGCUCAACCGUGGAGGGUCAUUGGAAACUGGGGAACUUGAGUGCAGAAGAGGAAAGUGGAAUUCCAAGUGUAGCGGUGAAAUGCGUAGAUAUUUGGAGGAACACCAGUGGCGAAGGCGACUUUCUGGUCUGUAACUGACACUGAGGCGCGAAAGCGUGGGGAGCAAACAGGAUUAGA
Molecule: ribosomal RNA, 754 nt
Filed under: Cloacibacterium normanense
Lineage: Bacteria; Pseudomonadati; Bacteroidota; Flavobacteriia; Flavobacteriales; Weeksellaceae
Description: bacterial SSU rRNA
Rfam family: Bacterial small subunit ribosomal RNA
Source: RNAcentral